This is a long non-coding RNA of Anguilla rostrata (American eel), 362 nucleotides long. RefSeq lists it as uncharacterized. The transcript is spliced from 3 exons. The record is from RefSeq and is a predicted model, not a curated record. NCBI's taxonomy places the organism in Eukaryota, Metazoa, Chordata, Actinopteri, Anguilliformes, Anguillidae.
AAGCAUUGUGGAGUCUUACUUAAAGCAGAAGACUGAGAGAGAAACUACAGACAAGAGUGACGCUCGCUGCAGUCUUCAUGGGGAGAAACUUCUAUUCUUCUGUGAACAUGACAAAGAGCCUCUCUGUGUCGUCUGUCAGACUUCAAAAAAACACAGAAACCACCCAGUCUGUCCAGUGGAAGAGGCCGUACUGGAGCUGAAGGAGGAACUCAACCCUGGUCUUAAUCUUAUUAAAGAAAAACUGAAGAGGUUUACUGACGUGAAACAAGACUGUAAGAAAACAGCUGAACACAUCAAGAGUCAGGCCCAGCACACAGAGAGGCAGAUAAAGGCAGAGUUUGAGAAGCUCCACCAGUUCCUGC